RNAcentral lists this ribosomal RNA (429 nucleotides) under Pseudomonadota bacterium. RNAcentral's name for it is "Proteobacteria bacterium partial 16S ribosomal RNA". It matches the Rfam family "Bacterial small subunit ribosomal RNA", at positions 355 to 776 of the family's 1533-position model. Lineage: Bacteria; Pseudomonadati; Pseudomonadota. The record is from RNAcentral.
UGGGGAAUAUUGGACAAUGGGCGAAAGCCUGUUCCAGCCAUGCCGCGUGUGUGAAGAAGGUCUUCGGAUUGUAAAGCACUUUAAGUUGGGAGGAAGGGCAGUAAGCGAAUACCUUGCUGUUUUGACGUUACCGACAGAAUAAGCACCGGCUAACUCUGUGCCAGCAGCCGCGGUAAUACAGAGGGUGCAAGCGUUAAUCGGAAUUACUGGGCGUAAAGCGCGCGUAGGUGGUUCGUUAAGUUGAAUGUGAAAGCCCCGGGCUCAACCUGGGAACUGCAUCCAAAACUGGCGAGCUAGAGUAGGGCAGAGGGUGGUGGAAUUUCCUGUGUAGCGGUGAAAUGCGUAGAUAUAGGAAGGAACACCAGUGGCGAAGGCGACCACCUGGGCUCAUACUGACACUGAGGUGCGAAAGCAUGGGGAGCAAACAGG